AUUGAACGCUGGCGGCAGGCCUAACACAUGCAAGUCGAGCGGCAGCGGAAAGUAGCUUGCUACUUUGCCGGCGAGCGGCGGACGGGUGAGUAAUGUCUGGGAAACUGCCUGAUGGAGGGGGAUAACUACUGGAAACGGUAGCUAAUACCGCAUAACGUCGCAAGACCAAAGAGGGGGACCUUCGGGCCUCUUGCCAUCAGAUGUGCCCAGAUGGGAUUAGCUAGUAGGUGGGGUAACGGCUCACCUAGGCGACGAUCCCUAGCUGGUCUGAGAGGAUGACCAGCCACACUGGAACUGAGACACGGUCCAGACUCCUACAGGAGGCAGCAGUGGGGAAUAUUGCACAAUGGGCGCGAGCCUGAUGCAGCCAUGCCGCGUGUAUGAAGAAGGCCUUCGGGUUGUAAAGUACUUUCAGCGGGGAGGAAGGUGUUGUGGUUAAUGACCACAGCAAUUGACGUUACCCGCAGAAGAAGCACCGGCUAACUCCGUGCCAGCCGCCGCGGUAA
This 506-nucleotide ribosomal RNA is filed under the name uncultured bacterium. Its description in RNAcentral is "partial 16S ribosomal RNA". It matches the Rfam family "Bacterial small subunit ribosomal RNA", at positions 30 to 523 of the family's 1533-position model. The record is from RNAcentral.